Molecule: ribosomal RNA, 373 nt
Filed under: uncultured bacterium
Lineage: Bacteria
Description: bacterial SSU rRNA
Rfam family: Bacterial small subunit ribosomal RNA
Source: RNAcentral
ACGGGGGAUGCAAGCGUUAUCCGGAAUUAUUGGGCGUAAAGAGUCCGUAGGUGGUCAUGCAAGUCUGCUGUCAAAGCCCACAGCUUAACUGUGGAUAGGCGGUGGAAACUGCGUGACUUGAGUGCGGUAGGGGUAGAGGGAAUUCCCAGUGUAGCGGUGAAAUGCGUAGAUAUUGGGAAGAACACCGGUGGCGAAAGCGCUCUACUGGACCGUAACUGACACUGAGGGACGAAAGCCAAGGUAGCGAAAGGGAUUAGAUACCCCUGUAGUCUUGGCCGUAAACGAUGGAUACUAGGCGUUGUCUGUAUCGACCCGGACAGUGCCGAAGCUAACGCGUUAAGUAUCCCGCCUGGGGAGUACGCACGCAAGUGUG